Molecule: non-coding RNA, 191 nt
Filed under: Bacillota bacterium
Lineage: Bacteria; Bacillati; Bacillota
Description: Firmicutes bacterium (anaerobic digester metagenome) 6S RNA
Rfam family: 6S / SsrS RNA
About the family: E. coli 6S RNA was the first non coding RNA to be sequenced, but its function was unknown until recently. It consists of 184 nucleotides that fold into an extended hairpin structure with a large single-stranded internal bulge.
Source: RNAcentral
GAUACCCUACCGUGUGCGUGGUCAAGCUGACUAAGUUGUGAACCAACACACAUAACUUAGGGAGCCUGGCCUCUCCCAGUGGCGUGUAGCCGUGUGCGGCACGGAAACCCAGGAGCUGGGAGGAGGGCGCCCACCUGCUGGGGGCAGGUUCAUCCACCGUCAGCGGUUUUCAACGGCACGGCGGGGUAAUC